AGGCCUUUCACCCACGUUACCUUCUACCGAAUUCAAGAAUGAGUUAAGCCCAGGAAAGACGCUCUUUUGGAGAGAAGGAGAAGGCGUGGGGGUUGGUUGGGGGCGAAGAUAGAAUUUCAACAAACUUUGGGCGCGAAAACGGAAUUGGCUCCAAUCUCUCCCAUUCGCCCGCAGUCCCGCCAUGGCUGGCAAGGGUUUUGGAACAAGAGCAACUCGGGGGCGCGCACGCACUCUUGAGAAGGUUGAAAUUCCAUUCCUGACUCGUGCAUGAUCGAUCGAUCGAUCGAUCGCUCGAAUCGCUCCGCAGGUUGAGAUUCCAUGGAGGAUCGGGGCUUGGAGGAGGUGGAGAAACCUCGGUUGUGCUCUCGAGUUUGGCUUCGACGAGCAGUCCGCCAGCAAGUGCUUGGACCGUCUCCUUUCCCUCUACGGGUGACGAAGGUUGAGAGUUUAUCACUGUGGACCACUGUGGCGAUGAUUUUCUAGCAGAACUUGCUGAAACUAUGCAAGACAUUGAGGAUUGGGAUGAUUUGCAAGUUGCGGAAUCAGAAGCUUGUGGAGUUUUGACUGAUAUGUUUGGCCAAGAUACCCCUAAUGACGGCGAAUGCAAUGUUGUGACGAUGUUAAUAUUAUAUAGGAUUCUCCACAACCUAAAAAAAAAAAAAAAAUCAAACAUUUCUUGAGGUGGAUUCCUCUGCUGAAAGUGAAGACGAAGAUGAUAUAUUAUAUUUGGCAGUACCCUGAGCAAUUCGUCCACUCAACUUUUGGCCAGACGAUCUUUAGAAUCCAUCGUAUGCUUCUGAAAACUGUGAAGUUGUCUCACUUCUUUCUGCCCCCAACAGUUUGAAGGGAUUAAGAAAAAGAAAGAAAAGCAUGGUGGCUUGGCAUGUUUUUUCCCAUGCUCAAAACUAAUUUGGUUGAUAGUUGUUAAGUUUGUGGCUUAAGUUUUUGAUUCAUGGACCUGGAUUUGAUUAGUCCUUCUCAGAGAACUCUUGGGAAACGCUUUCCACUCGUCUCAUUCGUUUUUGACUGACUCUUGCAAUUGGGAUUUUGGUUAGUGAGAAAUUGAUUUUUUUCUUAUUGUAAUUCUCUCUGGGUCACUGUUAAACUACUCCGGUUGAUGUAGAUGAAACUGCCCGUCCCCUUAAAUUAGUGUGUCACUGUUCUUUGCUCUUAAAAUUAUGUGUUUCCUUGAUCAUUUCCAGUUUGCUUGCAAUUCUGCUCAGCAAAAAACCUUACGCAGUGUACCUGUAUAAAAGCAUUUAGCAAAUUGCUUAUGAGGGCUUUCAUCUGAUCAAAUGCAUACUAGACACUCCUAACUUGCCAGUUACUUCCACAGUCUGUAAGAUCUAAAAUGACUUAUAUAAGUACUGUUUGGUCAGUAAAAACGGUUCAUUCUUGUUUUGGAUAUAAAACAAUAGCUAUAUUUCUCAAAUAAUUUGAAAGUGUGGUACAUCAGUGUUGAACUUAGCAUCCAGCGUCUUUGAUAGGUGUGUUUUGCAAAAUGGAUGCUCGGGAUUUCUUGGUGCACAAUUUUCAUUUUCCAUCACCACGUGUCAGAAACUAUUUAUGGUGCUGAAGAGGCUUAUUUGUGUUGAAGCACUGUAAGAGCACUGUCACUCAUGGUUUGAUAUCAUCAGUUUCAAAUAAAAGACAUCGCUCUCAGAUUUCGACAUGCAAACAACGAAGUCUGAGUUAUGAGGAAUUGCAAGCCUUGGAUGACAUAGAAUUGGCAAAUGUUGUAAUAUUCGGAAACAAGGCAUUUCGACCAAUGUAGCAUCAGGCUUGCAAAGCUUCUGUAGCCAAGCAGGAUUGCUUCAUUCUCAUGCCCACUGGAGGUGGUAAAAGUUUAUGUUACCAGGAUCAAAUAAUUACUCGAACCCUCAAGUACGGAAUACCAUCAACUUUCUUGAACUCUCAGCAAACCACUGCCCAGGCAGCAGCUGUCCUCCAAGAACUAAGGCAAGGAAAGAUAAACCAUCGCGCAAGCUGUUGUAUGUGACUCCUGAAAUGAUUGUGGGAAACUCAUCAUUUCUUGAGAUAUUGAAAGGCUUGCAUAGAAAGGGACUAUUUCUGAUACAUUGUAACUUUUUCUGAAAGUUUCUUUUGGACUUUUUGAUAUGCGGCCAUCACGCAUUGCAGGCACAACUAACUGGUUUUGUUGUUGAUGAGGCACAUGGUGUGAGUCAAUGGGGACAUGAUUUUCGUCCAGAUUAUAGGGGACUAGGAUGUCUCAAGCAAAACUUUCCAUAAGUCCCAGUGAUUGCCUUAACUGCAACUGCCACUCAGCCAGUUUGUGAGGAUAUCCUAAAAGCUCUCAGGAUCCCCCAUGAUCUUGUUCUCUAGACAAGCUUUGACAGACCAAACCUAAAAUAUGAGGUGAUAUUUAAGACCAUGGAACCACUGAAGCAGCUUGAAGAGC
This is a long non-coding RNA of Eucalyptus grandis, 2419 nucleotides long. RefSeq lists it as uncharacterized. The transcript has 6 exons. Lineage: Eukaryota; Viridiplantae; Streptophyta; Magnoliopsida; Myrtales; Myrtaceae. The record is from RefSeq and is a predicted model, not a curated record.